GUGUCAGAAAAAAAGUUGUCAGGUGUCAGAAAAAAAAUUGUCAGGUGUCAGAAAAAAAGUUGUCAGGUGUCAGAAAAAAAAUUGUCAGGUGUCAGAAAAAAAAUUGUCAGGUGUUAGAAAAAAAAUUGUCAGGUGUCAGAAAAAAAGUUGUCAGGUGUCAGAACACAAGGUACCAGAGAGAAAAUCUUCCUGCAGGUGGCGCUGUUGUCAUGUCCCACCCGAAUUGAUUUCCAAAUACGUCAUCAACGUGUGACCGUGGGAGAGCGUAAGGUCAUUGACCUCACCGGAGUUUUACCGUGGUUCAGGCUCCUAACGACACAAGGUAAGUUUAACUUUUUCUCCCUUUUGUUCAUAUUUUUGCCACAGUUGUGUUAUAUUAAGUUGCAGUUAUGUUGUGAAAGUUA
Astatotilapia calliptera (eastern happy) is the source of this 404-nucleotide long non-coding RNA. Lineage: Eukaryota; Metazoa; Chordata; Actinopteri; Cichliformes; Cichlidae. The record is from Ensembl.